RNAcentral lists this long non-coding RNA (1549 nucleotides) under Anas platyrhynchos platyrhynchos (common mallard). RNAcentral's name for it is "lncRNA (ENSAPLG00000028179.1)". The record is from RNAcentral. Lineage: Eukaryota; Metazoa; Chordata; Aves; Anseriformes; Anatidae.
AUGAAAUCAAGCAACCCCUUUUCAUCCUGCAAUCCUACAGCCACCAGUAAGCACACCAAGUCCGUUCUUCCUUUUUUUAUUGCCAUUAGCAGCGGUGCAAAAGACUUCGGGGUGGUUGUAUCUGGGGGCUUUUUAAGAGCGCACCUCCCCAUUGCCUCUUUGCUUGAAAUAGCAGGAAGCAAACACACCAGGCUGAGCUCUGACACGGCUCACAAAUUCCCCCACAGCACCCAGGCUGUUCAGAAGCACACCAGCAGCUGUCCAGCCUGCAGCCAAAGGAUGCUGUGGGAUUUCUCUCCCCCAAGCAGCUCCAGGCAAGCAGCACGCUGGGAGACAGGCUCACGGACGAGAUCAAAAGGCAACGCACCUUCCCUAGAGAGCAUCCCACCCCGACAGCCAUGUCACGGUUUUGCAGCCUCUGACAGAGGAAUCUGCCGGAUCGUGGUCUCCCCACCUCAGACACAUCAAUCAGUUUCUACCCCACCGAGGUCCCGGCUGGGCGGCAUCUCCCCCACGUCAGGAUCAGCGCCGGCAUCCCUACAACACUGAGGUGACAGCCAGAGCUGCAAUCUGACCUGUCUCAAACCCAGCCCACCUUUCUGGCCUUGGGUCACUUGGCUGUUACUCAGCCAAGACAAGAAAUCGCUGUUACCUGACUGCAAUCACACACAAGUUGCGUAACGAGCAGGUAAACUUUUCUCUUCUCAUACCUCUUCCAUCAUAAAGCACGGAGCCAGCCUCCUACCCUGCUCCUUCCAGCCUCUGCUUCAGGCACCUGCAAUCCUUCCUCCACGGAUAGCUCUCAAAAGGGUUCUCACGCUCUGGACUGCAAAAGCAUUUUGGGGUUCCCUCCCCCCACUUCCAGGCAUUUCCACUCAUCUCCUCUCUGAGCAAAUCCACCCCAGCUUCCUCCUCUUGCUUUCGUGUGCCCUUUUUCUAAAUUUCCAUGCUGUAACUCUCAUCACUGAACACGAUGCUUGCUCCUCACCUCUCAUCACUCUAGUUGUCCCACAUCAGGUCCCCCACUCACCAGGUCCCAUUCAUCAGCCUUGCUCCUUCCCAUCCUCUGCCUCAAUGACUUUGCAGCCCUGCAGCCACAGCCUGCUCCCUCCUUCCUGCCUAUCUAACACACCGCCGGCCUACGGGGCAGUAUCUGUUCCAGGACACGAUACAUUUACACCCCAAAUCCACCAUCAGAAAGCAGCAGCCUCCACAGAACACGCAGCGGAGGACGCUGAUCAGUUGUUCAUAAGGAAACUGCAAACUGAGCUCUGGGAAACUCAGCAGUCUGGAUUUACACACGGGGGAAUAUCAGAAUCGCUUUCAUUUUGACUGAAAGAGUCGUAACCCCGCAUUUCACCGAGAGCUAAAACCAAACUAGAAACAGAGCACGUGUCAAAACCAUACAAAACUACAACUUCUGCAUGGUUUUGAUGCAAAAUAAUCCAAGCAGGCUGGCAGCCUACAAAUCCUAACGAUUCUGUGGACAAAUCUGGGGCAAGUUUAAAAUUUGUAAUGUAGCGUGUUACAUGUCAGUUUGGGUUUCGCU